AUCCGGGUUUUAUUCAUCGCUUUUCUUCUUGAAGAACGUUUGACAAGUGACGAUCUUGGAGCAUACUGGUCUGAGGUGACUGUUCUUUUCUUAUUUGGUGUCCGUGGAUAUCAACGCUGGCCACUUACGGGAAGAAGAGUGUCACUUCCUCACAAACGCCCGGUUUGUCCCAGUGGACAUCACGGCUUUGCAAAUCGAUCACCGUGUCCGUAUGAGUGAAAACCUCUACCUCGCAGGAAUUCAACAAUCUCAACUCUUCUCGUCUUCUCCCUCUUUGCACGGCGGCCGGGGGGCCACCCCUAGUGAAGGCGGUCGUCCCUCAGACCUCUCUGCUCUAGCCGGAGGAGGUUGGCACUUCACCUUUUCCCUGUGUGCAGUUCUCUCAGGGAACGCACCAGGAUCUCCAUUCUUCUUUGCCGAAAGCGAAGGAGAAAAGGAGGACAGAACCUUCGAAAAUGUUGACCAUCAGGAGGG
This 474-nucleotide long non-coding RNA is filed under the name Physcomitrium patens. Its description in RNAcentral is "long non-coding RNA (PPAT_LNC011620)". Lineage: Eukaryota; Viridiplantae; Streptophyta; Bryopsida; Funariales; Funariaceae. The record is from RNAcentral.